GCGGCCGUGGCGGAAUUGGCAGACGCGCAGGACUUAGGAUCCUGUACCGCAAGGUGUGGGGGUUCAAGUCCCUCCGGCCGCA
Molecule: transfer RNA, 82 nt
Filed under: Candidatus Omnitrophota bacterium
Lineage: Bacteria; Pseudomonadati; Candidatus Omnitrophota
Description: Candidatus Omnitrophica bacterium tRNA-Leu
Rfam family: tRNA
About the family: Transfer RNA (tRNA) molecules are approximately 80 nucleotides in length. Their secondary structure includes four short double-helical elements and three loops (D, anti-codon, and T loops). Further hydrogen bonds mediate the characteristic L-shaped molecular structure. tRNAs have two regions of fundamental functional importance: the anti-codon, which is responsible for specific mRNA codon recognition, and the 3' end, to which the tRNAs corresponding amino acid is attached (by aminoacyl-tRNA synthetases). tRNAs cope with the degeneracy of the genetic code in two manners: having more than one tRNA (with a specific anti-codon) for a particular amino acid; and 'wobble' base-pairing, i.e. permitting non-standard base-pairing at the 3rd anti-codon position.
Source: RNAcentral